GUGCCAGCCGCCGCGGUAAGACAGAGGGUGCAAACGUUGUUCGGAAUUACUGGGCGUAAAGCGCGUGUAGGCGGUCUGGUAAGUCGGGUGUGAAAGCCCGGGGCUCAACCCCGGAAGUGCAUUCGAUACUACCAAACUAGAGUACUGGAGAGGAUGGUGGAACUCUCGGUGUAGAGGUGAAAUUCGUAGAUAUCGAGAAGAACACCGGUGGCGAAGGCGGCCAUCUGGACAGAUACUGACGCUGAGACGCGAAAGCGUGGGGAGCAAACAGGAUUAGAAACCCGUGUAGUCC
This 292-nucleotide ribosomal RNA is filed under the name uncultured bacterium. RNAcentral describes it as "partial 16S ribosomal RNA". It matches the Rfam family "Bacterial small subunit ribosomal RNA", at positions 505 to 796 of the family's 1533-position model. The record is from RNAcentral.